CGCUCUUUCAGAAGUUUCUGAAUAACGCACUGGCUUGAACCACUGGAAAGAAACAAAUAAAUGAGCUGGCAACUUUCACAGGGAGGAGCCUUGAAGCCCAGUUCCCAAGACCACGCCAACCAGCUCGGUGUGACAGCAUGCAGGAAUGAAAAUAGACUGAAUUCUUCAGGGGUAAAAUUCAUUUUGGAAGCCCUAA
RNAcentral lists this long non-coding RNA (196 nucleotides) under Cairina moschata (Muscovy duck). RNAcentral describes it as "domestica (muscovy Duck (domestic type)) lncRNA (ENSCMMG00000008678.1)". The record is from RNAcentral. Lineage: Eukaryota; Metazoa; Chordata; Aves; Anseriformes; Anatidae.